This 500-nucleotide ribosomal RNA is filed under the name uncultured bacterium. RNAcentral describes it as "partial 16S ribosomal RNA". It matches the Rfam family "Bacterial small subunit ribosomal RNA", at positions 30 to 523 of the family's 1533-position model. The record is from RNAcentral.
AUUGAACGCUGGCGGAAUGCUUUACACAUGCAAGUCGAACGGCAGCACGGACUUCGGUCUGGUGGCGAGUGGCGAACGGGUGAGUAAUACAUCGGAACGUGCCCAGUCGUGGGGGAUAACGUAGCGAAAGCUACGCUAAUACCGCAUACGAUCUAAGGAUGAACGCGGGGGAUCGCAAGACCUCGCGCGAUUGGAGCGGCCGAUGGCAGAUUAGGUAGUUGGUAGGGUAAAGGCCUACCAAGCCGACGAUCUGUAGCUGGUCUGAGAGGAUGAUCAGCCACACUGGGACUGAGACACGGCCCAGACUCCUGCGGGAGGCAGCAGUGGGGAAUUUUGGACAAUGGGCGCAAGCCUGAUCCAGCCAUUCCGCGUGCAGGAUGAAGGCCUUCGGGUUGUAAACUGCUCUUGUACAGAACGAAAAGGCUCUGGUUAAUACCCGGGGCUCAUGACGGUACUGUAAGAAUAAGCACCGGCUAACUACGUGCCAGCCGCCGCGGUAA